UGACGUUCUGCUUACUUUGCAUUUUUUAUUGCAAAAUCAAACGUCUCGCUAAGGCGGAUGGCAUACCCGGAGUUUCAUUUUGGCGGAAUUAUCUACAUCUUUACUUGAUCUACGACGCGUCCAUUCAAGAUGACGAGAAAGGUCCAACCAGUUGGGCAGACAGACGAAUAUGAUGGCGGAUUUUUGUUACACGAAUCCGACGAUUGUGCCGGGAGAGGAGUUAUCUCGUCGUGGAUUCUCAAUGUAUUGCGGGAGCGACAGUUUCAACGAGGAUUCUA
Vespula pensylvanica (western yellowjacket) is the source of this 278-nucleotide long non-coding RNA. RefSeq lists it as uncharacterized. The record is from RefSeq and is a predicted model, not a curated record. Lineage: Eukaryota; Metazoa; Arthropoda; Insecta; Hymenoptera; Vespidae. The transcript is spliced from 3 exons.